AACGAACGCUGGCGGCGUGCCUAACACAUGCAAGUCGAACGAGACCUUCGGGUCUAGUGGCGCACGGGUGCGUAACGCGUGGGAACCUGCCCUUAGGUUCGGAAUAACUCCCCGAAAGGGGUGCUAAUACCGGAUAAUGUCUUCGGACCAAAGAUUUAUCGCCUUUGGAUGGGCCCGCGUUGGAUUAGCUAGUUGGUAGGGUAAAAGCCUACCAAGGCGACGAUCCAUAGCUGGUCUGAGAGGAUGAUCAGCCACACUGGGACUGAGACACAGCCCAGACUCCUACGGGAGGCAGCAGUGGGGAAUAUUGGACAAUGGGCGAAAGCCUGAUCCAGCAAUGCCGCGUGAGUGAUGAAGGCCUUAGGGUUGUAAAGCUCUUUUACCCGGGAUGAUAAUGACAGUACCGGGAGAAUAAGCUCCGGCUAACUCCGUG
Molecule: ribosomal RNA, 433 nt
Filed under: uncultured bacterium
Lineage: Bacteria
Description: partial 16S ribosomal RNA
Rfam family: Bacterial small subunit ribosomal RNA
Source: RNAcentral